GCCGGGGUGGCGGAACUGGUAGACGCGCCGGACUCAAAAUCCGGUUCCUUCACGGGAGUGUCGGUUCGAUUCCGACCCUCGGCACCA
Molecule: transfer RNA, 87 nt
Filed under: Thiogranum sp.
Lineage: Bacteria; Pseudomonadati; Pseudomonadota; Gammaproteobacteria; Chromatiales; Ectothiorhodospiraceae
Description: tRNA-Leu
Rfam family: tRNA
About the family: Transfer RNA (tRNA) molecules are approximately 80 nucleotides in length. Their secondary structure includes four short double-helical elements and three loops (D, anti-codon, and T loops).
Source: RNAcentral